RNAcentral lists this small RNA (745 nucleotides) under uncultured fungus. RNAcentral's name for it is "eukaryotic LSU rRNA". The stretch from base 422 to 575 matches the Rfam family "5.8S ribosomal RNA". Lineage: Eukaryota; Fungi. The record is from RNAcentral.
AACUUAUUGAAGCCUGACGUGGGCGACUAUAAAUAUAACCAUGGAGUUCGGUCUUUAACUGACUGGACAACACCGCUGAAAUGCUGUGAUCAACUAUUGUUGUACCAGCAGCCCUUUUAUAGGGCCCACAGAUCAAGCCGCGGUGAUCCUACCUAGAGUAUUUAAGUAGGACUAUAAUAUGACCGGUCUCACCUGAGAUGGUUGAGAGAACACGUUCCGUAGGUGAACCUGCGGAAGGAUCAUUACCGAGUUAGGGUCUUAUAGGCCCGACCUCCAACCCUUUGUUUACUACACCAUGUUGCUUUGGCGGACCCGCCUUUUGGGGCCGCCGGGGGUUUACAAGCCCCUGGUCAGUGUCCGCCAGUAGCCUUAUUAAAUUCUUUUAUAAUUAUGUUGUCUGAGUAUAAAUAUAAAUCGUUAAAACUUUCAACAACGGAUCUCUUGGUUCUGGCAUCGAUGAAGAACGCAGCGAAAUGCGAUAAGUAAUGCGAAUUGCAGAAUUCAGUGAGUCAUCGAAUCUUUGAACGCAUAUUGCGCCCUUUGGUAUUCCGGAGGGCAUGCCUGUUCGAGCGUCAUUACAACCCUCAAGCUCUGCUUGGUGACGGGUGCCACCUCUCACGAGGUGCGCCUCAGAAUCAGUGGCGGUGCCAUUCGGCUUCAAGCGUAGUAAUUCUUCUCGCCUUGGAGACCCGGGUGAGUGCUUGCCAGCAACCCCAAAUUUUUUUUAAGGUUGACCUCGGAUCAG